AUUGAACGCUGGCGGCAUGCUUUACACAUGCAAGUCGAACGGCAGCACGGGGGCAACCCUGGUGGCGAGUGGCGAACGGGUGAGUAAUAUAUCGGAACGUACCCGGAAAUGGGGGAUAACGUAGCGAAAGUUACGCUAAUACCGCAUAUGCCCUGAGGGGGAAAGUGGGGGAUCGCAAGACCUCACGUUUUCGGAGCGGCCGACAUCAGAUUAGCUAGUUGGCGGGGUAAAGGCCCACCAAGGCAUCGAUCUGUAGCUGGUCUGAGAGGACGACCAGCCACACUGGGACUAGACACGGCCCAGACUCCUACGGGAGGCAGCAGUGGGGAAUUUUGGACAAUGGGGGCAACCCUGAUCCAGCCAUGCCGCGUGAGUGAAGAAGGCCUUCGGGUUGUAAAGCUCUUUCGGACAGAAAGAAAUCGCACGGGAUAACACCCUGUGUGGAUGACGGUACUGUAAGAAGAAGCACCGGCUAACUACGUGCCAGCAGCCGCGGUAAUACGUAGGGUGCGAGCGUUAAUCGGAAUUACUGGGCGUAAAGCGUGCGCAGGCGGUUUAUUAAGACAGAUGUGAAAUCCCCGGGCUCAACCUGGGAACUGCAUUUGUGACUGGUAGGCUAGAGUGUGGCAGAGGGGGGUAGAAUUCCACGUGUAGCAGUGAAAUGCGUAGAGAUGUGGAGGAAUACCGAUGGCGAAGGCAGCCCCCUGGGUUAACACUGACGCUCAUGCACGAAAGCGUGGGAAGCAAACAGGAUUAGAUACCCUGGUAGUCCACGCCCUAAACGAUGUCAACUAGGUGUUGGGGGAGGAGACUUCCUUAGUACCGCAGCUAACGCGUGAAGUUGACCGCCUGGGGAGUACGGCCGCAAGGUUU
This 873-nucleotide ribosomal RNA is filed under the name uncultured bacterium. RNAcentral's name for it is "bacterial SSU rRNA". It matches the Rfam family "Bacterial small subunit ribosomal RNA", at positions 28 to 896 of the family's 1533-position model. The record is from RNAcentral.